AGUGAACGCUGGCGGCAGGCCUAAUACAUGCAAGUCGAACGGCCAGACAGUGAGAGUUCGCCUCUACCGGUGGCGAGUUACGGACGGGUGAGGAAUACAUCGGCAUCCUCUUUUACGUGGGUGACAACGUAGGGAAACUGACACUAACACCGCAUAUGUUCAACGGCAGAAUUCAGGAGUUCAUCGCAGCUUUCGCGAUAGUUUGAGCUGAUUUCGGGUCGCAUUAGCUAGUUGGUAAGGUAACGGCUUACCAAGGCAACGAUGCGUAGCUGACCUGAGAGGAUGAUCGGCCACACUGGAACUGAGACACGGUCCAGACUCCUACGGGAGGCAGCAGUAGGGAAUAUUGCACAAUGGGCGAAAGCCUGACCGAGCAACGCCGCGUGAGUGAAGAAGGUCUUCGGAUUGUAAAGCUCUUUUAUUAGGGAAGAACAGAUGUGGAAGUAUCCCUGCCUGUUUUGACGGUACCCAAUCAGAAAGCCACGGCUAACUACGUG
This 497-nucleotide ribosomal RNA is filed under the name uncultured bacterium. RNAcentral describes it as "partial 16S ribosomal RNA". It matches the Rfam family "Bacterial small subunit ribosomal RNA", at positions 29 to 507 of the family's 1533-position model. The record is from RNAcentral.